This 1128-nucleotide long non-coding RNA is filed under the name Panax ginseng (ginseng). RNAcentral describes it as "long non-coding RNA (PGIN_LNC018338)". The record is from RNAcentral. Lineage: Eukaryota; Viridiplantae; Streptophyta; Magnoliopsida; Apiales; Araliaceae.
GUCUUCCUCUCUCUCUCUCUCUCUUCCUCACUACCUUCUCUUUCUCUUUCUCUUUCUCUUUCUUCAGCUACGAUUAUAUCUCUUCAUCUCCCCCUCAAUAAAUCCCAUCUCGGUUUAAUCUCCUCCUCAUCCCAUAAAACCCUAGAAUUGGGUUGCAACAACAUGUAAUCAGAGCAUCAAGACAUGAAAUUGAUCGUCGUUCAAUUGGAUGGCCGAUAAUGGAGAGAUCGACGUCACAAUCAUUUCUGAGUUUCUUCUUUCUUGAGCUCUCUGAAGGUCGGCAAAGCGAACUUUUAAGUCUAUUUCUAUUCGUAAGGUCAGUACAUAUAUGCUUAUCUUUUCGAUUAUAUAUUGAUUGUUUUGAUGAGUUUUAUGUUGAUUGUAAGUUGGAUGAUGGAACCUUAAUUUCUGACCUAAAAGUAUCUGAGUAGGAGUCUUUGGGUGGUUCUUUUAUUCAUGCAUCUCUAGGUGACUUUUUGGGGCUUUUAGAAGGCUCUGAAUUUCUGAUUGUUAAUAGAAUACUGUUAAUGUCUUAUGUUAUUGUUUCAGGACAAGUUUUAAUUUGAGAAUAGUGUCCAGUCGGAAUUUGAUUCAAAAUGCAGUCUCCAAGGGCUUUCAUGUCAUCAAGCAUUGCAGCCGAUGCUUUUCAAGAAAGUGCAAGCUCAAAAGCUUAUGGGUCUGAACAGAUUCAGGUAAAUGAAUAACUAUAUAGUAUUUUUUUUUCAUUGAUAAGAAUAUGAUAAUGUGUUUCACAUCAUGUAAAUGCCUUCUAUUCUUACUGAAACUAUUGUUUAGUGUUGUAGCUUAUAUAUACAUGGAAGAUGGGUUGUCAGACCAAAUUCUUCAUUAACAAUGGGUGAAUACUUUCUUCUGAUUGAACAUGAUUGAGUGAUGUGAGGCUACCGUGAUCAUAGAAAAAUGACCACUAAGAAGUUCAAAUAAAUCAAGUUUGAAUUUGACUUAAUUUUGACUACCCACUGAAAAACAAAGGAAAAAUUUACAGCCAAAUUACGGAGUUUGCAUGUUGACCACAUUAAGACACUUUUGAGCUAAUGUUAAUAAUAAUGAAAGUAAUGAACACAUCCUCUACUUGCUAUUAAUGAGUUAUAACAUUGACCUUUCAAACCC